CCUACGGGAGGCAGCAGUGGGGAAUCUUGCGCAAUGGGCGAAAGCCUGACGCAGCCAUGCCGCGUGAAUGAUGAAGGUCUUAGGAUUGUAAAAUUCUUUCACCGGGGACGAUAAUGACGGUACCCGGAGAAGAAGCCCCGGCUAACUUCGUGCCAGCAGCCGCGGUAAUACGAAGGGGGCUAGCGUUGCUCGGAAUUACUGGGCGUAAAGGGAGCGUAGGCGGAUAGUUUAGUCAGAGGUGAAAGCCCAGGGCUCAACCUUGGAAUUGCCUUUGAUACUGGCUAUCUUGAGUACGGAAGAGGUAUGUGGAACUCCGAGUGUAGAGGUGAAAUUCGUAGAUAUUCGGAAGAACACCAGUGGCGAAGGCGACAUACUGGUCCGUUAACUGACGCUGAGGCUCGAAAGCGUGGGGAGCAAACAGGAUUAGAUACCCUGGUAGUCCACGCUGUAAACGAUGAGUGNUAGUUGUCGGUCGAUGCAUGCAUGUCGGGUUCGGUACGGCGACGACGUAACCGACCGAACUUAAGUACGACCUCCCGUCCCGUCGGGGUACGGGUUACCGGGUUACCGGUACCGAACGAAGUUAAAACCGUUAAACCGAAACGGAAAGUUAAGUACGGACGUGAGACGUACGCCGACGGACGACCGACCGACGGGAGGUUAGG
RNAcentral lists this ribosomal RNA (665 nucleotides) under uncultured bacterium. RNAcentral describes it as "bacterial SSU rRNA". The stretch from base 1 to 541 matches the Rfam family "Bacterial small subunit ribosomal RNA", at positions 338 to 873 of the family's 1533-position model. The record is from RNAcentral.